Rhagoletis zephyria (snowberry fruit fly) is the source of this 774-nucleotide long non-coding RNA. RefSeq lists it as uncharacterized. The record is from RefSeq and is a predicted model, not a curated record. Lineage: Eukaryota; Metazoa; Arthropoda; Insecta; Diptera; Tephritidae.
GUGUUCACGCAACAAGGCUGCCAUCUUAUACGACUCAUUACUCUAUUGAUCUAAUCAGCCAUCUCAUUUACAACAAAAUCACAGCAGUUCUCAUAUACCGGCAUAACAGCAGCAUUUUAUUAUAAUAUCAUCGCAUCUAAUCUAACAAAAAUAACAGCGCGAGACAACAGCUAUGCGGUGGAGGCCUUCAACGCAGCGUGGGAGACACCAGCGGCGAUCAAUGUAAGUUGUUGUGACUAUUUGCUAUUUCUUGUUUUCUAUCUCUUAUAGUUUCUCACUUGCAUUUGCUCAAUUUGUUUGUUAUAAUAUUCGCAAACACAACCGGUAAAAUUACAUAUAUACCUACCUAUUGUUUUUUUUUGCUCACCGGUCAGCUUACUUAUGUACAUACUCGUACAUAUGUACAAUAGAGAGUAGGUCAAUCACCAUGCCUAUAUGCUGAUCGCCGUUGAGGUAGGUCGUGGUUUUCACUUUGCUUAUACACCCAAAAAGAAAUAUUAGUAAUAAUAAUCUGAACUAAAACCGAGGUUACAAUUGAUUACUGUUUGCGUAGGUUAGGGUUCAUAAAAUUAAUUAGGACGAUCAUAUAGAAGUAAUUGAAUCGAAGUAUAGUUGGCCUACUUAAGGCAAGAAUGAAAUGGUGUUACAAUAUUUGAAGUCUUAAGCACCAAAUAUUUUAUUCCACAAAUAACUAAAAUUUGUUAUAAUCUAAAUUGAAUUAAGUAUUAAGAAUAAGAACAAAUAAUUUAACAACGAUAGUUUAGUGGAAUAAUA